AAGUCGGAACAAGGUUUCCGUAGGUGAACCUGCGGAAGGGUCAUUAACACGUAUCCAACGUUAAUCCACCCGUGCACCUUCAGUGAGCCUGGCGGAGACACUCUCGUCGAGGCCAUAUGUCUCCGGGCUUGUACUUCUUGGGAGAACGGGUUUCUCGAUACCAGAGCGGGAAAGGAUGGUCAGAGGUGCGCAGCCUCUGGGAUUCGUUUCCCACUCUUCGGGAAAUUCCCAAAACAUUGGACUUCGGGAAGUCGCGCCCUUUCGCCAGUCGGAAACCCCUUUUCGCUUUAACGGAGCUUUGUGUGGCGUCCCCCGUGGUUCAUACACACCGCGGAAAAAUAUGACUAACCCCACAGAAAAUUACCGUCCGCCUCGUAGCCCGACCGGUAACCCGAACAACUGUUAACAAUGGAUAUCUUGGUCUC
Molecule: unclassified non-coding RNA, 425 nt
Filed under: fungal sp.
Lineage: Eukaryota; Fungi
Description: partial internal transcribed spacer region
Rfam family: Eukaryotic small subunit ribosomal RNA (bases 1-46)
Source: RNAcentral